Molecule: ribosomal RNA, 465 nt
Filed under: uncultured bacterium
Lineage: Bacteria
Description: partial 16S ribosomal RNA
Rfam family: Bacterial small subunit ribosomal RNA
Source: RNAcentral
CCUACGGGAGGCAGCAGUGGGGAAUAUUGCGCAAUGGGCGAAAGCCUGACGCAGCGACGCCGCGUGAGGGAUGAAGGUCUUCGGAUCGUAAACCUCUGUCAGCAGGGAAGAACGGUCACUGUGCUAAUCAGCAGUGAAUUGACGGUACCUGCAAAGGAAGCACCGGCUAACUCCGUGCCAGCAGCCGCGGUAAUACGGAGGGUGCGAGCGUUAAUCGGAAUUACUGGGCGUAAAGCGCUCGUAGGCGGUAUGUCAAGUCAAGGGUGAAAUCCCCGGGCUGAACGUGGGAACUGCCUUUGAAACUGGCAAACUGGAGUGUGUGAGAGGAUAGUGGAAUUCGAGGUGUAGGAGUGAAAUGCGUAGAUAUCUGGAGGAACAUCAGUGGCGAAGGCGACUAUCUGGCACAUAACUGACGCUGAGGAGCGAAAGCGUGGGUAGCAAACAGGAUUAGAUACCCGGGUAGUC